AGUCUGGGCCGCACGCGCGCUACACUGAUGAAGUCAGCGAGUUUAUAACCUUGGCCGGAAGGUCUGGGUAAACUUUUGAAACUUCAUCGUGCUGGGGAUAGAGCUUUGUAAUUAUUGCUCUUCAACGAGGAAUUCCUAGUAAGCGCAAGUCAUCAGCUUGCGUUGAUUACGUCCCUGCCCUUUGUACACACCGCCCGUCGCUACUACCGAUUGAAUGGUUAUAGUGAGCAUAUGGGAUCAGCAGGAUUCGAUGGGCAACCAUCAUUUCUUGUUAGAGAACUAUGGCAAACUAAGCUAUUUAGAGGAAGUAAAAGUCGUAACAAGGUUUCCGUAGGUGAACCUGCGGAAGGAUCAUUACUUAUGUAAUGGGGGGAAGGGAAAAAAAAAAAAAAAAAAAAAGCGGUUUCCGGCCCCCCUUUUUUUUUUUUUUUCCCCCC
RNAcentral lists this ribosomal RNA (437 nucleotides) under Mucoraceae sp. LM263. RNAcentral describes it as "bacterial SSU rRNA". The stretch from base 1 to 357 matches the Rfam family "Eukaryotic small subunit ribosomal RNA", at positions 1479 to 1831 of the family's 1831-position model. Lineage: Eukaryota; Fungi; Mucoromycota; Mucoromycetes; Mucorales; Mucoraceae. The record is from RNAcentral.